UACGUAGGGUGCGAGCGUUAAUCGGAAUUACUGGGCGUAAAGCGUGCGCAGGCGGCCUAGCAAGUCGAGUGUGAAAGCCCCGAGCUUAACUUGGGAACUGCGCUCGAAACUACUUGGCUAGAGUGUGGCAGAGGGAGGUGGAAUUCCACGUGUAGCGGUGAAAUGCGUAGAGAUGUGGAGGAACACCGGUGGCGAAGGCGGCUACCUGGACCGGUACUGACGCUGAGGCGCGAAAGCGAGGGGAGCAAACAGG
Molecule: ribosomal RNA, 253 nt
Filed under: uncultured bacterium
Lineage: Bacteria
Description: partial 16S ribosomal RNA
Rfam family: Bacterial small subunit ribosomal RNA
Source: RNAcentral